AUGAAGGAAAUUCAGAGGCAAGUAGAAGAUCUUCUUAACAGAGGGUAUGUAAGGGAAAGUCUUUCUCCUUGUGUUGUUCCCAUACUUUUAGUUCCAAAGAAAGAUGGUACCAUGCGCAUGUGCACUGAUUGUAGAUCCGUUAACAACAUAAUUGUGAGAUAUCAGCACCCUAUUCCUAGGCUUGAUGACAUGCUUGAUGAACUUUGUGACUCCACCAUAUUUUCCAAAAUUGAUUUGCGAAGUGGUUACCACAAAAUAAGAAUGAAAGAGGGUGACGAAUGGAAAACUACAUUUAAGACAAAAUUUGGCUUGUAUGAAUGGUUGGUUAUGCCUUUUGGAUUAACAAAUGCACAUAGUACUUUCAUGAGAUUGAUGAAUCAUGUGCUUAGAUCCUUCAUUGGCAAGUUUGUCGUGGUGUACUUUGAUGACAUAUUGAUUUAUAGCAAAACUUAG
This 453-nucleotide ribosomal RNA is filed under the name Triticum aestivum (bread wheat). Its description in RNAcentral is "partial small subunit ribosomal RNA". Lineage: Eukaryota; Viridiplantae; Streptophyta; Magnoliopsida; Poales; Poaceae. The record is from RNAcentral.